This 435-nucleotide ribosomal RNA is filed under the name uncultured bacterium. RNAcentral's name for it is "partial 16S ribosomal RNA". It matches the Rfam family "Bacterial small subunit ribosomal RNA", at positions 29 to 507 of the family's 1533-position model. The record is from RNAcentral.
AGCGAACGCUGGCGGCAGGCUUAACACAUGCAAGUCGAGCGGGCAUCUUCGGAUGUCAGCGGCAGACGGGUGAGUAACACGUGGGAACGUACCCUUCGGUUCGGAACAACUCUGGGAAACUGGAGCUAAUACCGGAUACGCCCUUAUGGGGAAAGGUUUACUGCCGAAGGAUCGGCCCGCGUCUGAUUAGCUAGUUGGUGGGGUAACGGCCUACCAAGGCGACAAUCAGUAGCUGGUCUGAGAGGAUGAUCAGCCACACUGGGACUGAGACACGGCCCAGACUCCUACGGGAGGCAGCAGUGGGGAAUAUUGGACAAUGGGCGCAAGCCUGAUCCAGCCAUGCCGCGUGAGUGAUGAAGGCCUUAGGGUUGUAAAGCUCUUUUGUCCGGGACGAUAAUGACGGUACCGGAAGAAUAAGCCCCGGCUAACUUCGUG